This is a long non-coding RNA of Gasterosteus aculeatus aculeatus (three-spined stickleback), 3261 nucleotides long. Lineage: Eukaryota; Metazoa; Chordata; Actinopteri; Perciformes; Gasterosteidae. The record is from Ensembl.
UUGGGAACCGCCCAUAUUUUCACAUCAUUACUUCUGCUUUCGUCCGGUCCAGAGAUGCAUGAUGGUUCUUGUUGCAGUGCAGAGUCCAGUGGUCUUAGUGCUAUCUGUCCCUCAAACAAAGGAAAUAAAGACACUGUUAAUUGCUGCAAAAAUUUGCAGCUUAUGGAAGAGAGAGAAAAUCAAAUGUCCCGUUCUAAAUCUUUGGCCGUCUGCUUUGUGUUUGCCGAGGUGAGAAGAUCUGCCUCUUCCAUGCGUUUCUGACUGUCAACAAACCCCACAAGAAGACCAAAAACCUGCAGAGUCACACAAACAAAGUCAUGACUCAUCGUCCACUUGUUUGUUUUGCGUCUUCGAUAGACACCCUACUUGUUAGUGAGGCAAGGCAAUUUUAUUUGUACAGCACAUUCCUACAGCGAGGCAAUUCAAAGUGCUUUACAUAAAACCAUUAAAAACAUCCAAACAUAAAACAUGUUAACAUUGAUUUGAGACUUAAAAGGAAAAGUCAUUAAAAAGAUGACUGUGUCAAAUUGGGCAAAAUUUGAAAUGUGUAGUUUAAGAGAACCAACAUUCUAACGCAGACCUGCAGCUGUUAGUAGGAUCAGUCACAGCUGGUUUGCGUCUUUUGGGGGGAUUGAUGGCACUAGAAAGCAAAUCGAAUAACCCACUCAUCUAUUCUAAUCUGCCAUGGCAUUCCAGAGUUGAUCCGUUAUUUGUAAAUCCUUUCUUCAUGAUCGGCCCUGAUCUUUAGAGACAUUCCCACUUCUUCUCUGCUGGCACCAGUUGCAGCCGGUGUGAAGUUCCUUAAUGCAACAUUAAUGAGCAUUCGAAGGCAUCAUCAACGAGGCCUUAAGGGGAAUUCAUUUGACUGUGAGCCUGGAAAUGCUCCUGUAGAAGAGCAGACCUCGUGCACUCGAGAGCUCAGACGGGACUUUACACCUGUGGAGAUGGAGGAGGGACAAAUGAAUCGACUCUUUGGUGGUUGGUGUGUGUGUGUGUGUGUCUGUGUGUUACUACAUCGCUGCUGCUAUUGCUGUUGCUGCUACUGCUUAUAUUGUUGCUACUGCUGCUUCUCAUGACCCCGCCUCCCUCCGCCCAUCCCGUCCCACCAACUCAUCCAGAACUAGGAAGCUAGAACCCGACCCUCUGCAGUCAGAAGCACAAGUACUGAGACACAAGUGUUUUCCCUUUGUGCGACACACUAAACACACGCAGAAACAUUUGUCCCAACACUUUGGCCUUUGACUGCACAGACCUGCUUUCGAAGGCCACGUUUCCUCCUCCUCCUCUGGUCUCCCUGCCCCCUGUCGCCUCGUUCUGUCUGUGCAGUCAUAGCUUGUAAAUUGAGGAUAUAAAGAUGAAUUUUAUGUUUUCUACAAUGAGGUUUUGCAUGUUACUAUUAUGUGAGUAAAUAAGGUGCCUAAUGUUCAUGUUUGAGCAGACCACACCUCAGUCAAACUGCUGCUGGGGAUCCCUCGCAGGCCCUCUGCGGCGAGGCAACGCUUCUCCGCUGAGUUGGUGGACGGAGGCGCUGGCGGCGGCGGAAGCCAUUUCCACCAGCAGUUUGCCCGGGUGUGGAGCAGACAUAGGAACCCACACUUGCACUCAAAAAAGCUCCCACCUUCGUUGUGCCUCACUUCCAACGGUGCUUUUUUCAGUAGUCUGUCUUUCUUUGUUUGUUUGUAAGGUGCUGUAUAUAACUUGAAUAUAUUAUGCACAUAUCCUGCCCAAUGGGUAGAAACCACACACAAAAAAGAUGUUGUGAAUAUUGUAAUAUAAUGUAUAGACAAUAUAAGAAUUUUAAGAAGGCAGAAUCAAAUUUGUAAAUGCCUACAGUUGAAAAAAAAUAACUUGCUUUGUCUUUUUCCUUUUUUAUGAGAACCUGGUUUGCAAAGUAUGCUUAAAAUAUGGUUGCAACGCAAAUACAAAUUACUACUUAUGAUAUUUUGCUAUCAAUAAUAGUCCGUGAUAAGAAUGAAAUAACCUCUGUAUUAAGCGAGGGGUCGUGAAAGGAUAUUAUUCACUUGUUUAUGGGAAUUCCUCCUCAGACAACAAGCUUUUCGCAGCGCUCGCUGUCAUUUGGAUACCGGCUGGUGGUUUUUCUUUUUCAGCCCAACCGACUAACAAAUGUAAAGUUCUACGCCACAAUCUUUUAAAGGAAAGCGGGGAAAAGCAAGCACUGGUCAGUUGCUGUUCAAUGCCACGACUUCAGCCGGCCCGCUUUGAUUUUCUACUAGUGGGGGGGGGGGGGUGCGUAUCACAUGACCACUGCACACGAGGGCCCGUCGGAGCUUCCCGAUACGGAAGGAGCUUGUGUCCGCACUCUUAGAUCUAACAACCUUUUUUUUUAAGUUACUAUUCAGCAGUAAUUUUGUAUAUCUGCCAAAGUUGAAGAGCACCGCUGACGUGUGAGAAGAAAAAAAAUCUGUUCAAUCUGUCAUAUUACUUUCCUCUUAUUAUUACUAUUAUUGUUAUUUUUAUUUUCUACAUUACAAAUGUUAUGUGUGGCUCAAUAUAUUGAAACGAACGUCACGUUUAACCUGCAGUCGUUUAUUUACAGUAUGUACGGAGAAUAACUACGAUAACCACAGAGCAUGUUCGUUCUUCUCUGUAGACUGUGUACGUUUUCCUCUUCAAGCACCAAAUAUGUUGCAGUCGUGCAGUUUUGAUUUGGAAAAUAGUCUCUUAUAUCGUAACUCUGGCUGCAGCGCCGCUCGGCCCUCCUUAAAGACCUUUUUAUUUUUUGUCUUAGUUUCCUGCACUAGCUAGCAUUUUUCGGACCCCCCCCCCCCUCCUCCCGCCGCCCGCCGCGCUCUCUCCACUUCUCAGAAGUCUGUACUCAACUGCUGACCACAAGUAGCUGUUUUUAUCGUUGCAUAUUUUGAUAGUAAUGAGAAUAAUAACAACUCAACAGUUUGGUAUUGUCUCCGUCUCCACGGUUACCAUAGGACUGCUUCCAUCAUGGGUUUUGUAUCAUCCAAAACUCCUCUCCCCUCUGUGCUGAAAUACAUAUCUAUAUAUAAAUAUAUGUAGAUAUGUGUGUCCAAAACAUAGAGGUAAAAUUGUUGUGUAUCUUUUGCCUCUUUUUAUUUAAGCAAUUGUGAUGUAAUAGGUUUUAGGCCUAAGGUCUGUUAUUGCCAUACUUUUACAGAAAAGACUAGAAAAAAAAAUCCAAAAUUGUUGCUCUAAGUGCUGUUGUAGUCAAAGAUUUUAUGCUUGUACUUAUGCUGUAGUCAAACUGCAGUGUAAUGAAUAAAACUUUAA